CCUACGGGUGGCUGCAGUGGGGAAUAUUGCACAAUGGGGGAAACCCUGAUGCAGCGACGCCGCGUGAGUGAAGAAGUAAUUCGUUAUGUAAAGCUCUAUCAGCAGGGAAGAAAAUGACGGUACCUGAGUAAGAAGCCCCUGCUAACUACGUGCCAGCAGCCGCGGUAAUACGUAGGGGGAACGCGUUAUCCGGAUUUACUGGGUGGAAAGGGAGCGUAGACGGCAGUGCAAGUCUGGAGUGAAAGACGGGGGCUCAACCCGCGGACUGCACUGGAAACUGGACGGCUGGAGUGCAGUAGAGGGAAGUAGAAUUCCUGGGGUAGCGGUGAAAUGCGUAGAGAUCAGGAGGAACACCAGUGGCGAAGGCGGCUUACUGGACGGUAACUGACGUUGAGGUGCGAAAGCGUGGGGAGCAAACAGGAUUAGAUACCCGAGUAGUC
Molecule: ribosomal RNA, 440 nt
Filed under: uncultured bacterium
Lineage: Bacteria
Description: partial 16S ribosomal RNA
Rfam family: Bacterial small subunit ribosomal RNA
Source: RNAcentral